Molecule: ribosomal RNA, 463 nt
Filed under: uncultured bacterium
Lineage: Bacteria
Description: bacterial SSU rRNA
Rfam family: Bacterial small subunit ribosomal RNA
Source: RNAcentral
UGGGGAAUCUUGCGCAAUGGGCGAAAGCCUGACGCAGCGACGCCGCGUGAGUGAUGAAGGCCUUCGGGUUGUAAAGCUCUGUGGGGAGGGACGAAUAAGGAGUCGUGAACAUCGGCUUCGAUGACGGUACCUCCUUAGCAAGCACCGGCUAACUCUGUGCCAGCAGCCGCGGUAAGACAGAGGGUGCAAACGUUGUUCGGAAUUACUGGGCGUAAAGCGCGUGUAGGCGGCCAGCGCAAGUCGGGUGUGAAAGCCCUGGGCUCAACCUAGGAAGUGCACUCGAAACUGCGCGGCUUGAAGUCUGGAGAGGAAGGCGGAAUUCUCGGUGUAGAGGUGAAAUUCGUAGAUAUCGAGAGGAACACCGGUGGCGAAGGCGGCCUUCUGGACAGCACUUGACGCUGAGACGCGAAAGCGUGGGGAGCAAACAGGAUUAGAUACCCUGGUAGUCCACGCCGUAAACGAU